CUUUUUAAAAGUUGUAUUGCGCAUGUGUAGGAGCACAAUGCGCGGAAGGGAAGCCAAGCGUCAUAAAGCAGAACCAGAAGAAGAACAAGAACGGUUAUAACUUUGUUGGAGGGAAUUUCGAGGAAGAAGUUUUGGUUUCGUUACAUUUUGUAAAGAUGCCACCGAAGUAUAUCGCUGCUGGAUUUUUGUAUGAUGCAGAGAAACUUUUGACGGAUUUCAUCGCUGAAAAUAGUGUUGAAUUUAAGGUUUUUUCCACCGUGUGGAGAAAACAUUACUUUUCACUUAUAUAUAUGGGAAGACCAAAUGAAAGAGAACUAUCUGAAUUUACAUCAGAAAUUUUCCGUAUAUCAUUGCCAUUUCUAUACCCUGAAUUGCCAU
This is a long non-coding RNA of Stegodyphus dumicola, 378 nucleotides long. NCBI's taxonomy places the organism in Eukaryota, Metazoa, Arthropoda, Arachnida, Araneae, Eresidae. The record is from RefSeq and is a predicted model, not a curated record.